Long non-coding RNA from Homo sapiens (human), 303 nucleotides. The record is from Ensembl. NCBI's taxonomy places the organism in Eukaryota, Metazoa, Chordata, Mammalia, Primates, Hominidae.
AAUGGCUGAAACAAUCUGCUACCCGAAGCCCCAAAGGCUCUGAUUACCGGUCGCCGCUCACCUGCUGGGGCGCGAGGUGCAGAGACUGUACCGACCGAGGACCCAGAGGCUGUCACCACGGAGGGGAAGUCCUCAGCUGCACAGGUUGGGGGGGGGGGGGGGGGCGGGCCCAACCAGUCACAUGACGUCGAGCUCCGCCCUGCCUCCUCCAUCCCAGCGCUCUACAUCUCGGGGGGCCUGAAUUUUUACGGAUCCCUUGAAUAUUAAUUUUCUUGGAUUAAAGAAAUAAAAGAUAAAUUUUCA